RNAcentral lists this long non-coding RNA (1126 nucleotides) under Equus caballus (horse). RNAcentral describes it as "lncRNA (ENSECAG00000047824.1)". The record is from RNAcentral. Lineage: Eukaryota; Metazoa; Chordata; Mammalia; Perissodactyla; Equidae.
CUGCAGUAGUAAUUAGCUAUAUCCAGAGUAAAAGAAAGAAGAGUAAGGAUAUAAACUUUCCAGCAUACGUGAAGGUUCCAAGGUCAUAAAGGGCCUGGCUGGUGCGGGAAGACCAGUGUGGCUAGAGAAUUGUGAGCAAGAGUUGCAUAAAGUAUAGCCUGGGCUCUCUGGCCACAGGUUAUUUAAUCAGGGAGUCAGCUGAAUCAAACUGAGUCAAUUGAGCUGUGUUUUCACUACUUGGAGUUAGUGAUAUAGAGAAUUUAGCCAGUUUGUUUUGGGUUCUGAAGAUAUAAGUUCAUGUAGAAAUUGAAGUUCCUGUAAAGUUAGGAAAAGAGGCAGCAUCCUGGGCACCAGAGCCCUGUGUAAACCUUUGUUAAGAGGAACGGAAUCUAAGAUAUAUCUGCGGAGAGAACUGGAAGUGGAACAAACUUGGAGAAAAGAGCAGCCAAGAGAUAAGAGACUGAGGUAUGAAGAGAUGAAGUAAUUUAUCCCAAAUGAGACAGCUGCUGCGCUGACAUGCUCUUGAAUUCAAUAUCUCCAAUCACAAUCUUCUGAUUCUCCUCCUUCCUGACUGCACAAGAUAGAAGUACUCCAUGUGGAGUUACAUGAGAACCUUCCUGUAAAAUCAAUCUGAGAGUGGUGGAAUCAUUGAAUUGGUGGCGAGCAGAUGCUGAUCGGGAGGCAGGACCAGGCAUCACCAUCAUGGAUCUCAAGUUAUACUCACAGCAACCUUAGGAUGAAGGAACUGUUAUUAUUCUCAUUUUACUGAUGAGAAAACUGAGGAUAAUGACCUGAUGAAGGUCAUACAACUACUAAAUGGAGCUGAUGGGAUUCCAACCUAGGUGUGCAUGACUCUAGAGUCCAUGCUCUUAACCACCAUACAUUGUCCAAGUAUAUUUGAUGGUUUUAAUCAUUAACAAUUUCAUAGGUGCAAAAUAAUCUAAUUGUUCUAACUUGCAUGUCUUUGCUUACUGGUAAGAUUGAAUAUUUUUUUCAGCUGAUUUUUAACCAUGGAAAUUAUUUCUCAAAUUAUCCUGUUGAUAUAUUUGUACUUUUUUUUUUUAUUGGAGUGUUCAUGCCUUUUUGAAUGGAUAUUAAAGACAAUAAACCAAAAUUAAAACAUUUU